GGCAUGCCUAACACAUGCAAGUCGAGCGAGAAGGUUCUACAGAUUCUUCGGAUGACGAUGGAACCGGAAAGCGGCGGACGGGUGAGUAACGCGUGGGUAACCUGCCCUAUGGAGGGGGAUAACACAGUGAAAACUGUGCUAAUACCGCAUAAGCGCACGGUGUCGCAUGACACAGUGUGAAAAACUCCGGUGCCAUAGGAUGGACCCGCGUCAGAUUAGCUAGUUGGUGAGAUAAAAGCUCACCAAGGCGACGAUCUGUAGCCGACCUGAGAGGGUGAUCGGCCACAUUGGGACUGAGACACGGGCCAAACUCCUACGGGAGGCAGCAGUGGGGGAUAUUGCACAAUGGGGGAAACCCUGAUGCAGCAAUGCCGCGUGAAGGAAGAAGGUCUUCGGAUCGUAAACUUCUAUCAGCAGGGAAGAAAAUGACUGUACCUGACUAAGAAGCCCCGGCUAACUACGUGCCAGCAGCCGCGGUAAUACGUAGGGGGCAAGCGUUAUCCGGAAUUACUGGGUGUAAAGGGUACGUAGGCGGCAUGGCAAGUCAGAUGUGAAAGCCCGGGGCUCAACUCCGGGACUGCAUUUGAAACUGUCAAGCUAGAGUACAGGAGAGGAAAGCGGAAUUCCUAGUGUAGCGGUGAAAUGCGUAGAUAUUAGGAAGAACACCAGUGGCGAAGGCGGCUUUCUGGACUGUAACUGACGCUGAGGUACGAAAGCGUGGGGAGCGAACAGGAUUAGAUACCCUGGUAGUCCACGCUGUAAACGAUGAAUGCU
RNAcentral lists this ribosomal RNA (774 nucleotides) under uncultured organism. RNAcentral describes it as "bacterial SSU rRNA". It matches the Rfam family "Bacterial small subunit ribosomal RNA", at positions 41 to 817 of the family's 1533-position model. The record is from RNAcentral.